Molecule: ribosomal RNA, 1491 nt
Filed under: Triticum aestivum (bread wheat)
Lineage: Eukaryota; Viridiplantae; Streptophyta; Magnoliopsida; Poales; Poaceae
Description: partial small subunit ribosomal RNA
Source: RNAcentral
AUGGAGCUAAUUAGUGGAGCCACCCUCUUCUUGGUUUCUCUCAUCUCAGUGGUGAUUCUAGUUUCCUUGCUUAGCCGCAAACUAUCACCAAGUUCCAAGAAGCGGCGGCCUCCCGGCCCAUGGCGUCUGCCCUUGAUCGGAAACCUCCACCAGAUCCUCACGCCAAAGCUGCCGGUCGUCCUCCGGGACCUGGCCAAGAAGCACGGGCCGGUGAUGGGCCUCCGGCUGGGCCAGGUCGACGCCGUGGUGGUCUCCUCACCGGCGGCGGCGCAGGAGGUGCUCCGGGACAAGGACCUCGCAUUCGCGUCGCGGCCGAGCAUCCUCAUGUCGGAGAUCAGUCUCUACGGAAACCUCGACGUCGCCUUCGCGCCGUACGGCGCGUACUGGCGGGCGCUGCGCAAGAUCUGCGCGGCGGAGCUGCUGAGCGAGCGGAAGGUCAGGCAGUUUUCUCCGGUGAGGGACAAGGAGACCAUGUCCCUCGUCAGCAACGUUCGCGAGGCGAGCAGGGGCGGCCAGCCGUUCGACCUCCGCAGGCUGCUCGUGCUGUGCUCGAAUUCGGUAACCGGGAAGACGGCGUUCGGGGAGAUGUGCAGCUCCGAGCUCCAGGAGCAGUUCGCGGUGAUGGACGAGGUGCUGAAGCACGGCACGGGGCUCUGCGUCGGGGACCUCUUCCCGUCGCUGUGGUUCGUCGACGUGGUCACCGGUCUGAGAGGCCGGCUAUGGCGAGCCCGCCGGCAGCAGGACGAGGUCCUGGACAAGAUCAUCUCUCAGUCCGAAGUGAGGCAAGGUGAUCACGUUCUAAGCUCUUUGCUUAGCAUCAGGGACAAAGGGGAGAUGGAACUGGACAACGUCAAGGCAAUCAUCAUGGAUAUGUUCUCGGCCGGGACGGAGACGACAUCGUCGGCGGCCGAGUGGGUCAUGUCGGACCUCAUGAGGAACCCGGAGGUGAUGAUGAAGGCGCAGGCUGAGGUGCGACGGACGUUCGACAAUAAGAGCUCUCAAGACCACGAGGGACACAUAGUGGAGCUACACUACACCAAGAUGGUGAUCAAGGAGAGCAUGAGGCUACAUCCAGUGCUGCCGCUGCUGAUUCCCCGUGUCUGUCGAGAGACCUGUGAUGUCGGUGGGUUUGAGGUCACGGAGGGCACCAGGGUUAUGGUGAAUACCUGGGCAUUGGGUAGGGACCCCGAGUACUGGCAUGAGCCUGAGGAGUUCAGGCCGGAGCGGUUCGAGGAUGGCACGGCGACCUACAAAGGCUCGCGGUUCGACUACUUGCCGUUCGGAAGCGGGAGGAGAAUCUGCCCGGGUGAUACCUUUGGGGUUGCCGUGUUGGAGCUCAUCAUGGCACGACUUCUCUACUACUUCGACUGGAGCCUCCCCGCCGGAGUGAAGCCGAGUGAGCUGGACAUGGAAAUGAUUGUUACCUUAACCUCGAGGAGGAAGAACCAGCUGCACCUAGUGGCGACACCGUAUAAGGCAUGCUUAUGUUAA